GAUGAAGAACGUAGCGAAAUGCGAUACUUGGUGUGAAUUGCAGAAUCCCGUGAACCAUCGAGUCUUUGAACGCAAGUUGCGCCCGAAGCCAUUAGGCCGAGGGCACGCCUGCCUGGGCGUCACACGUCGUUGCCCCCCCAUCUACUCCUUCGGGAUUGCGGGGGGCGGAUGAUGGCCUCUCGUGCGCCUCGUCGCGCGGUUGGCCUAAAUGCCAAGUCCUCGGCGACGCACGCCACGACAAUCGGUGGUUGCGAAACCUCGGUUGACUGUCGUGUGCGGUCGUCGCGCAUCGAGGGCUCGAAAAAAUUGCCGGGCUUCGGCUAGACUUUCAACGCGACCCCAGGUCAGGCGGGGUUACCCGCUGAAUUUAAGCAUAUCAAUAAGCGGAGGA
This 391-nucleotide unclassified non-coding RNA is filed under the name soil metagenome. Its description in RNAcentral is "partial contains 5.8S ribosomal RNA, internal transcribed spacer 2, and large subunit ribosomal RNA". The stretch from base 1 to 122 matches the Rfam family "5.8S ribosomal RNA", at positions 35 to 154 of the family's 154-position model. The record is from RNAcentral.